GAUGUGAUUGUUUACUUUGUGUGGCCUUUCUAGCCAUGGUCUUAUAACAUCCACCCUGGUGCUUGGGCAGGACUGUGUGAUAGGGUAAUUGUGGCUCACCAAGGGGAUUGUUUAGUUUUCCCUUCAAAGAGAACCAGUUCCAGAGCAAAGAGGAGGAUUCAACUCCCAUCAAGGAAGAACAGCCAAGAGCCGAGUGUAUAUUAUGGACCUGAGAUCCCUGCACUGAGAAGCUCCUAGAAGCAGGAGACUGAGAUAGAGAGAGGAAGCUGUAACCCUGAAGAUGCUUAAAUACAGACCAGAAGAGGAGUUUGGGGCUUGACACCUGACAUCUUAACACCAGUUCCUGUUUCUUGAGGAAGGAAGAGGUAAAAUAAAUCAGCGUUUACUGUUUCCUUCUCCAUCCCCGGAAGUCCUGAUGAAGACCCUCUCAGAGAACCAGUUCCAGAGCAAAGAGGAGGAUUCAACUCCCAUCAAGGAAGAACAGCCAGGAGCUGAGCAUAUAUUAUGGACCUGAGAUCCCUGCACUGAGAAGCUCCUAGAAGCAGGAGACUGAGAUAGAGAGAGGAAGCUGGAAUCCUGAAGACGGUAAGAUGCCAUGGCAGGAGAGACCAAGCAACAGGGACCCAGCUAUAGGAGAUGAUGGCCCAGGGAGAAGGAAAGCUGAGUGCCUUUGGAGAGAGGCCCAAGGCCAGGCAGAGGCACACCUAUGAGCACAGGAGGGAAGAGGCUGUCCUGAUAGAAGAACUGUAUUCUGAGUGUCUUUGAGCCUGAGUUGUAACUGUUACUUCCCUAAUAAACCCCAUAAUCAUGAAUAUGGACUGUGAGCUCUGUGUGGCCAUUGCAAAGAAUUAUUGAACCCAGCAGAGAAGUAGGGAGUGCUGUGUGAGGAACAGUUGGUGUCAAACUUAGUGAAGAUGGUGGAGAGAGGAUAGUUUUUUCACCAAUGCCUUCAAUGCAGCUUCAAUUUCUUCCUUUUAUACCAUCAGUUCUUGAUCUUAUGCUACCUCUUGAAAUGGUUGAAAAUUAUCCAGUUCUACUGCAGUACUAUAUUAAUAUCAGACAAAUUAUACUUCAGAAAAAGGAGUAUUAUUGGGAAUAAGUAGGGACAUAACAUAAUAAAGGUUCAAUUCUCCAAAAAGAUACAACAAUCCUAAAUGUGUACAUAUUUAACAACAGGGCUCCAAAAUACAAAAACUAAUAAAUCUGAAAGGGGAAAUGGACAAAUAUGCAUUUGUAAUUGGUAUCAGUACUUUUCUAUGAAUAAUUACUAGAGCCCUGCUAGUUGAAGUCCAAGGCGUCUGUAUGAACCACUCAUGGAUGUCUAUGUGUCUGUGUAUGUAUGUAUGUGUGUAUGUGUGUAUGUAUGUAUAUAGUAUAAAGACAAGUAAUAAAGAAAUAAACAUAGAGUCCUUGGGAGGUGCAAACGGUUAAUGCAUUCAGCUGCGAACCAAAAUGUUGGAGGUUUAAGUCCACCCAGAGACACUUCGGAAGAAAGGUUUGGCGAUCUACUUUUGAAAAAUUAGCCAUUGAACUGACACACUUGUGUGUCAGUACUACUCUGACACACAUGGAGGGAGGGGUCACCAUGAGUCAGAUCAGCUUGAUAGCAAUUGAAUGAUUUUUUUAUUCAUUCUGCCAGUGUUUGUCUUUUAAUUGGUAUCUUAGGCUGGGUUCUUUAGAGAAGCAAAACC
Loxodonta africana (African savanna elephant) is the source of this 1691-nucleotide long non-coding RNA. RefSeq lists it as uncharacterized. Lineage: Eukaryota; Metazoa; Chordata; Mammalia; Proboscidea; Elephantidae. The transcript has 3 exons. The record is from RefSeq and is a predicted model, not a curated record.